Molecule: ribosomal RNA, 465 nt
Filed under: uncultured bacterium
Lineage: Bacteria
Description: bacterial SSU rRNA
Rfam family: Bacterial small subunit ribosomal RNA
Source: RNAcentral
GGGCCCGCACAAGCGGUGGAUGAUGUGGAUUAAUUCGAUGCAACGCGAAAAACCUUACCUACGCUUGACAUGUCCGAGAUCCCGAAGAGAUUUGGGAGUGCUCGAAAGAGAAUCGGAACACAGGUGCUGCAUGGCUGUCGUCAGCUCGUGUCGUGAGAUGUUGGGUUAAGUCCCGCAACGAGCGCAACCCUUGUCAUUAGUUGCUACAUUAAGUUGGGCACUCUAAUGAGACUGCCGGUGACAAACCGGAGGAAGGUGGGGAUGACGUCAAGUCCUCAUGGCCCUUAUGCGUAGGGCUUCACACGUCAUACAAUGGUCGGUACAGAGGGUCGCCAACCCGCGAGGGGGAGCCAAUCUCAGAAAGCCGAUCGUAGUCCGGAUCGCAGUCUGCAACUCGACUGCGUGAAGUCGGAAUCGCUAGUAAUCGCGGAUCAGCAUGUCGCGGUGAAUACGUUCCCGGGCCUU